This 926-nucleotide ribosomal RNA is filed under the name uncultured Bacteroidota bacterium. RNAcentral describes it as "bacterial SSU rRNA". It matches the Rfam family "Bacterial small subunit ribosomal RNA", at positions 1 to 917 of the family's 1533-position model. The record is from RNAcentral. Lineage: Bacteria; Pseudomonadati; Bacteroidota.
UGGAUCCAGACUUUGAUUAUGGCUCAGGAUGAACGCUAGCUACAGGCUUAACACAUGCAAGUCGAGGGGAAACGACAUCGAAAGCUUGCUUUUGAUGGGCGUCGACCGGCGCACGGGUGAGUAACGCGUAUCCAACCUGCCCACCACUUGGGGAUAACCUUGCGAAAGUAAGACUAAUACCCAAUGAUAUCUCUAGAAGACAUCUGAAAGAGAUUAAAGAUUUAUCGGUGAUGGAUGGGGAUGCGUCUGAUUAGCUUGUUGGCGGGGUAACGGCCCACCAAGGCAACGAUCAGUAGGGGUUCUGAGAGGAAGGUCCCCCACAUUGGAACUGAGACACGGUCCAAACUCCUACGGGAGGCAGCAGUGAGGAAUAUUGGUCAAUGGACGAGAGUCUGAACCAGCCAAGUAGCGUGCAGGAUGACGGCCCUAUGGGUUGUAAACUGCUUUUAUAAGGGAAUAAAGUGAGUCUCGUGAGACUUUUUGCAUGUACCUUAUGAAUAAGGACCGGCUAAUUCCGUGCCAGCAGCCGCGGUAAUACGGAAGGUCCGGGCGUUAUCCGGAUUUAUUGGGUUUAAAGGGAGCGUAGGCCGGAGAUUAAGCGUGUUGUGAAAUGUAGACGCUCAACGUCUGCACUGCAGCGCGAACUGGUUUCCUUGAGUACGCACAAAGUGGGCGGAAUUCGUGGUGUAGCGGUGAAAUGCUUAGAUAUCACGAAGAACUCCGAUUGCGAAGGCAGCUCACUGGAGCGCAACUGACGCUGAAGCUCGAAAGUGCGGGUAUCGAACAGGAUUAGAUACCCUGGUAGUCCGCACGGUAAACGAUGGAUGCCCGCUGUUGGUCUGAAUAGGUCAGCGGCCAAGCGAAAGCAUUAAGCAUCCCACCUGGGGAGUACGCCGGCAACGGUGCAACUCAAAGGAAUUGACGGA